GCUUGCUGGGUGGAUUAGUGGCGAACGGGUGAGUAACACGUGAGCAACCUGCCCCUGACUCUGGGAUAAGCGCUGGAAACGGCGUCUAAUACUGGAUACGAACAAGAAUCGCAUGGUUACUUGUUGGAAAGAUUUUUUGGUUGGGGAUGGGCUCGCGGCCUAUCAGCUUGUUGGUGAGGUAAUGGCUCACCAAGGCGUCGACGGGUAGCCGGCCUGAGAGGGUGACCGGCCACACUGGGACUGAGACACGGCCCAGACUCCUACGGGAGGCAGCAGUGGGGAAUAUUGCACAAUGGGCGGAAGCCUGAUGCAGCAACGCCGCGUGAGGGAUGACGGCCUUCGGGUUGUAAACCUCUUUUAGCAGGGAAGAAGCGAGAGUGACGGUACCUGCAGAAAAAGCGCCGGCUAACUACGUGCCAGCAGCCGCGGUAAUACGUAGGGCGCAAGCGUUAUCCGGAAUUAUUGGGCGUAAAGAGCUCGUAGGCGGUUUGUCGCGUCUGCUGUGAAAUCCCGAGGCUCAACCUCGGGCCUGCAGUGGGUACGGGCAGACUAGAGUGCGGUAGGGGAGAUUGGAAUUCCUGGUGUAGCGGUGGAAUGCGCAGAUAUCAGGAGGAACACCGAUGGCGAAGGCAGAUCUCUGGGCCGUAACUGACGCUGAGGAGCGAAAGGGUGGGGAGCAAACAGGCUUAGAUACCCUGGUAGUCCACCCCGUAAACGUUGGGAACUAGUUGUGGGGUCCAUUCCACGGAUUCCGUGACGCAGCUAACGCAUUAAGUUCCCCGCCUGGGGAGUACGGCCGCAAGGCUAAAACUCAAAGGAAUUGACGGGGACCCGCACAAGCGGCGGAGCAUGCGGAUUAAUUCGAUGCAACGCGAAGAACCUUACCAAGGCUUGACAUACACCAGAACACCCUGGAAACAGGGGACUCUUUGGACACUGGUGAACAGGUGGUGCAUGGUUGUCGUCAGCUCGUGUCGUGAGAUGUUGGGUUAAGUCCCGCAACGAGCGCAACCCUCGUUCUAUGUUGCCAGCACGUAAUGGUGGGAACUCAUGGGAUACUGCCGGGGUCAACUCGGAGGAAGGUGGGGAUGACGUCAAAUCAUCAUGCCCCUUAUGUCUUGGGCUUCACGCAUGCUACAAUGGCCGGUACAAUGGGCAGCGAUACCGUGAGGUGGAGCGAAUCCCAAAAAGCCGGUCCCAGUUCGGAUUGAGGUCUGCAACUCGACCUCAUGAAGUCGGAGUCGCUAGUAAUCGCAGAUCAGCAACGCUGCGGUGAAUACGUUCCCGGGUCUUGUACACACCGCCCGUCAAGUCAUGAAAGUCGGUAACACCUGAA
This 1336-nucleotide ribosomal RNA is filed under the name Microbacterium sp. RNAcentral's name for it is "bacterial SSU rRNA". It matches the Rfam family "Bacterial small subunit ribosomal RNA", at positions 78 to 1425 of the family's 1533-position model. The record is from RNAcentral. Lineage: Bacteria; Bacillati; Actinomycetota; Actinomycetes; Micrococcales; Microbacteriaceae.